AAUAGAUACCCUGGUAGUCCACGCCGUAAACGAUGUCGACUUGGAGGUUGUUCCCUUGAGGAGUGGCUUCCGGAGCUAACGCGUUAAGUCGACCGCCUGGGGAGUACGGCCGCAAGGUUAAAACUCAAAUGAAUUGACGGGGGGCCCGCACAAGCGGUGGAGCAUGUGGUUUAAUUCGAUGCAACGCGAAGAACCUUACCUACUCUUGACAUCCAGAGAACUUAGCAGAGAUGCUUUGGUGCCUUCGGGAACUCUGAGACAGGUGCUGCAUGGCUGUCGUCAGCUCGUGUUGUGAAAUGUUGGGUUAAGUCCCGCAACGAGCGCAACCCUUAUCCUUUGUUGCCAGCGGUUCGGCCGGGAACUCAAAGGAGACUGCCAGUGAUAAACUGGAGGAAGGUGGGGAUGACGUCAAGUCAUCAUGGCCCUUACGAGUAGGGCUACACACGUGCUACAAUGGCGUAUACAAAGAGAAGCGACCUCGCGAGAGCAAGCGGACCUCAUAAAGUACGUCGUAGUCCGGAUUGGAGU
Molecule: ribosomal RNA, 528 nt
Filed under: uncultured bacterium
Lineage: Bacteria
Description: bacterial SSU rRNA
Rfam family: Bacterial small subunit ribosomal RNA
Source: RNAcentral